RNAcentral lists this ribosomal RNA (460 nucleotides) under uncultured bacterium. Its description in RNAcentral is "partial 16S ribosomal RNA". It matches the Rfam family "Bacterial small subunit ribosomal RNA", at positions 338 to 795 of the family's 1533-position model. The record is from RNAcentral.
CCUACGGGAGGCAGCAGUGAGGAAUAUUGGUCAAUGGACGAGAGUCUGAACCAGCCAAGUAGCGUGAAGGAUGACUGCCCUAUGGGUUGUAAACUUCUUUUAUAUGGGAAUAACAUGUUCCACGUGUGGGAUUUUGUAUGUACCAUAUGAAUAAGGAUCGGCUAACUCCGUGCCAGCAGCCGCGGUAAUACGGAGGAUCCGAGCGUUAUCCGGAUUUAUUGGGUUUAAAGGGAGCGUAGGUGGAUUGUUAAGUCAGUUGUGAAAGUUUGUGGCUCAACCGUAAAAUUGCAGUUGAAACUGGCAGUCUUGAGUACAGUAGAGGUGGGCGGAAUUCGUGGUGUAGCGGUGAAAUGCUUAGAUAUCACGAAGAACUCCGAUUGCGAAGGCAGUUCACUGGACUGCAACUGACACUGAGGCUCGAAAGUGUGGGUAUCAAACAGGAUUAGAUACCCCGGUAGUC